Molecule: ribosomal RNA, 126 nt
Filed under: Microcebus murinus (gray mouse lemur)
Lineage: Eukaryota; Metazoa; Chordata; Mammalia; Primates; Cheirogaleidae
Source: RNAcentral
AUCUACAGCCAUACGACCCUGAAUGCACCCAGUCUUCUCUGAUCUCGGAAACUAAGCAGGGUCAGGCCUGGUUAGUACCUGGAUGGGAGAAAGCAUCAUAUGAAUAAAUGAUAAGUGUUUUAAAAA